UAUUAAAAAUUUCAUUCAUUUGUACUGUUAAAAACCUGCAUGAUUAAUGGAAUAACUAAACAGAGACAUGUGACAUGUCACGUGUAUCUUGUACUAAUAUACAUGAAUUAAUUUUUAAUAGGAAAAAUGAAUAAAUUUUUUUGAA
Molecule: microRNA precursor, 145 nt
Organism: Gossypium arboreum
Lineage: Eukaryota; Viridiplantae; Streptophyta; Magnoliopsida; Malvales; Malvaceae
Rfam family: MIR7502 microRNA precursor family
Source: Rfam